GCUCUCGUAGUGAAAUGGAUAUCACGACUGGCUUCGAACCAGUUAUUGGGGGUUCGAAUCCCUCCGAGAGCACAA
RNAcentral lists this transfer RNA (75 nucleotides) under Candidatus Colwellbacteria bacterium CG23_combo_of_CG06-09_8_20_14_all_42_19. RNAcentral's name for it is "tRNA-Arg". It matches the Rfam family "tRNA". Rfam says of the family: Transfer RNA (tRNA) molecules are approximately 80 nucleotides in length. Their secondary structure includes four short double-helical elements and three loops (D, anti-codon, and T loops). Further hydrogen bonds mediate the characteristic L-shaped molecular structure. tRNAs have two regions of fundamental functional importance: the anti-codon, which is responsible for specific mRNA codon recognition, and the 3' end, to which the tRNAs corresponding amino acid is attached (by aminoacyl-tRNA synthetases). tRNAs cope with the degeneracy of the genetic code in two manners: having more than one tRNA (with a specific anti-codon) for a particular amino acid; and 'wobble' base-pairing, i.e. permitting non-standard base-pairing at the 3rd anti-codon position. Lineage: Bacteria; Candidatus Colwelliibacteriota. The record is from RNAcentral.